This 301-nucleotide ribosomal RNA is filed under the name uncultured bacterium. RNAcentral's name for it is "partial 16S ribosomal RNA". It matches the Rfam family "Bacterial small subunit ribosomal RNA", at positions 509 to 807 of the family's 1533-position model. The record is from RNAcentral.
CAGUCGCCGCGGGAAUACGGAGGGUGCAAGCGUUAAUCGGAAUUACUGGGCGUAAAGCGCACGCAGGCGGUCUGACAAGUCAGAUGUGAAAUCCCUGAGCUUAACUUAGGAAUUGCAUUCGAUACUGGGAAGCUAGAGUAUGGGAGAGGAUGGUAGAAUUCCAGGUGUAGCGGUGAAAUGCGUAGAGAUCUGGAGGAAUACCGAUGGCGAAGGCAGCCAUCUGGCCUAAUACUGACGCUGAGGUACGAAAGCAUGGGGAGCAAACAGGAUUAGAUACCCCUGUAGUCCCUGUCUCUUAUAC